AAACAUCGCCUCUUGAAAAAUUAUAAGAGGUCCAGCCUGCCCACUGAUAAAUUUAACGGCCGCGGUAUCCUGACCGUGCAAAGGUAGCACAAUCACUUGUUCUCUAAAUAAGGACUAGUAUGAAUGGCGUCACGAGGACUUACCUGUCUCCCUCUUUUAAUUAGUGAAACUGAUCUCCCCGUGCAAAAGCGGGGAUUAAACUAUAAGACGAGAAGACCCCAUGGAGCUUCAAACCAAGACUAAUUGCUUCCCAUUUUAACUUUAAAGGACAAAAAUAGACCCUUGAUUUUUGGUUGGGGCAACCGCGGAGUAAAACACACCCUCCGUAACAAAUAAACUUACCCUUUUAAAUUUAGAGCCACCUCUCUAAAUAUCAAAAAUUUGAUAUCUUUUGACCCAAUACAAAUUCAAAACAUUUUAUUUGAUCAAUGAACCAAGUUACCCUGGGGAUAACAGCGCAAUCCACUAUUAGAGUUCUUAUCAACUAGUGGGUUUACGACCUCGAUGUUGGAUCAGGGUACCCAAGUGGUGCAGCCGCUACUAACGGUUCGUUUGUUCAACGAUUAAAACCCUAC
Molecule: ribosomal RNA, 575 nt
Filed under: Hemisus guttatus
Lineage: Eukaryota; Metazoa; Chordata; Amphibia; Anura; Hemisotidae
Description: partial 16S ribosomal RNA
Rfam family: Bacterial large subunit ribosomal RNA
Source: RNAcentral